AUAAUAUUUUGACUGUCUGUUUAUUGAGCAAUUUCGCUCGCUCAGUGGAAGAUCUUAUCUUUGUCGU
Molecule: microRNA precursor, 67 nt
Filed under: Bombyx mori (domestic silkworm)
Lineage: Eukaryota; Metazoa; Arthropoda; Insecta; Lepidoptera; Bombycidae
Description: mir-2774 microRNA precursor family
Rfam family: mir-2774 microRNA precursor family
Source: Rfam by way of RNAcentral